AGAGCUGUUUCUGCAUACUUUUGCUUCCAGUUAUGUCUCAGGGCUUUCCUCACACGAUGCACCUUCUGGCCUCAGUCAGUUCAGUACAAGCUCUCUAUUCUAAUUGGGCAGAAUUACACUGUCUACUUGAAGAACUCUUCGUGAAAUUCCCAAGAGCACCCUCCCAGGACACAAAGAGAAGGAAAUGAAACCAGCCUUUGCUGAGGCAAGCCAGGAUUUGGAGUUAUUGACAGCUGAGUCCUGAUUUCAAAUUUAACACCAUUGUUAAAAUAAACUAUGAGUUUUGCAUUAUGCCUCAAUUGAGCCAUUAAGACAAAA
Molecule: long non-coding RNA, 318 nt
Organism: Heteronotia binoei (common prickly gecko)
Lineage: Eukaryota; Metazoa; Chordata; Lepidosauria; Squamata; Gekkonidae
Exons: 3
Source: RefSeq, a predicted model, not a curated record